This 500-nucleotide ribosomal RNA is filed under the name uncultured bacterium. Its description in RNAcentral is "partial 16S ribosomal RNA". It matches the Rfam family "Bacterial small subunit ribosomal RNA", at positions 30 to 523 of the family's 1533-position model. The record is from RNAcentral.
AUUGAACGCUGGCGGCAUGCCUUACACAUGCAAGUCGAACGGCAGCACGGGAGCAAUCCUGGUGGCGAGUGGCGAACGGGUGAGUAAUAUAUCGGAACGUGCCCAGUCGUGGGGGAUAACGCAGCGAAAGCUGUGCUAAUACCGCAUACGAUCUACGGAUGAAAGCGAGGGAUCGCAAGACCUCGCGCGAUUGGAGCGGCCGAUAUCAGAUUAGCUAGUUGGUGAGGUAAAGGCUCACCAAGGCGACGAUCUGUAGCUGGUCUGAGAGGACGACCAGCCACACUGGAACUGAGACACGGUCCAGACUCCUACGGGAGGCAGCAGUGGGGAAUUUUGGACAAUGGGCGAAAGCCUGAUCCAGCAAUGCCGCGUACAGGAUGAAGGCCUUCGGGUUGUAAACUGCUUUUGUACGGAACGAAACGGUGAGCUCUAAUACAGUUUGCUAAUGACGGUACCGUAAGAAUAAGCACCGGCUAACUACGUGCCAGCCGCCGCCGUAA